CCUAUUACUUUUAAGUAGGUAAGAUUCUACACGCACUUGGAAAUGUCUUCUGACUUUACAUUUGAAACUGUGCACGCACAUGCAUUCACAAAGGGAAAAGCAAUGAUAAAUGUUCUCAUUUGCAUUAGAACUGAACACCCAGUGCAGGCAGCUGCCGCAUGGUUAUUACAAUUUCAGACUGAUAUAUGAGUUGGAAAAU
RNAcentral lists this long non-coding RNA (199 nucleotides) under Chinchilla lanigera (long-tailed chinchilla). Its description in RNAcentral is "DAOA antisense RNA 1 conserved region 1 (ENSCLAG00000019486.1)". It matches the Rfam family "DAOA antisense RNA 1 conserved region 1". Lineage: Eukaryota; Metazoa; Chordata; Mammalia; Rodentia; Chinchillidae. The record is from RNAcentral.